GUUUUGCCUGAGUGUGUUGUUGGAGCCUCACCAGGAUAUGAAGAGCUGCUGGGGAAGAGAGAAGGAAAAAGCUCAAAGAACACCUCAAACUGCUCCCAUCACCUACAGUUCCUGCAGGUCUGGACAAUAAUGUUUGUGUUAAAGUUUGCAUAAAUAACAGAUCCAGAAAUGGAUAAAGGCUAAUGAGGCCUCCUUCCUUCCACAGAUAGUGUGAGGGACCCAAUUCUCAGCCUCCAUAAACCAACCCAGCUUCACUGAAGUCUAUGCAGUUCUGCUGCUCAUCAGCUUUGACUUCAUCUUCUGACCUUCUGGAUCUUCUGUUCUUUUACAUCGGGUUCAGGCUUGUUCCCUGACCUUCAAAGUUUGACAAAGCUCCACUCUGACCUUGAUCUUUUUCCUUAUCUCAUCUGAACCUGCUUGCAAGAAGUGAUGUCACUGUGCUUGGUUUAAGAAUCACCUGGGAUUCAUGAUAAAACAGUGACUUCAGAACAACACUCCUCCCAGAGCCUUGUACUUGAAGCAUUGAUUUUUGCUUCCUAUUACCAUAGCAACAAGAGUCCAUCUCUUCAGAAACUAGCCAGUGGAAACUACAAAAGGAGCAAAGUUCUUGAGUGCCUUGCUUCAGUCAAGGGAAAAGAAACUGAUGGAUUUGGGUAACUAUCUGCUGAGUAGGCUCCACAAGUUUCUUCCUUCCAUAUACCCAAUGCUUUGAGAGAUCUCCACCCCACCAUUGCUUUGCAUGUUUGUUCUUUGCUGCUAUCAAGGCAGAAUAUGGGAACAGCAUUUGCCGUCUGCAAGCUUGUCACCUUUUGUGCAUUUCAACAGUGUGCUUAGCAGUCCAGUAGUAGGCUAACACAGAAUCAGUUUUCAGGAGUUAAGCCAUGAGUGGAGCCAUCUUCUGACUCUAUUAUGUGGAGACAAGUUGCCUUUGGAAGAGGAACCUGUUGAGUCAGUUGCUACUGUUUUAUUAAAAAAAAAAAACCCCAACCAACCAAAAAAACCUUUUACUUAUGUCGAGUUGAGACUAUUAAACAACAGCCAGUUGCUUU
Alligator sinensis (Chinese alligator) is the source of this 1049-nucleotide long non-coding RNA. RefSeq lists it as uncharacterized. The record is from RefSeq and is a predicted model, not a curated record. The transcript is spliced from 6 exons. Lineage: Eukaryota; Metazoa; Chordata; Crocodylia; Alligatoridae.